This 3360-nucleotide long non-coding RNA is filed under the name Daphnia pulicaria. RNAcentral's name for it is "uncharacterized LOC124344262, transcript variant X10". Lineage: Eukaryota; Metazoa; Arthropoda; Branchiopoda; Diplostraca; Daphniidae. The record is from RNAcentral.
AAAAAUCCGUUUUUUAACGACACGGAAUCGGAUCAGUAUCAGUUCACUGGUGAAGACUGUGUUGGACUAACUUACAUGAAUGACCUUGGGGUAACUAGCAGCCGUCAAUCCGUCAUAGUGCCCCUAGCGGCCUGACGGUGGAAUAGCUAAAAACCUCAUUUUGAGCACCGUGGCACCGGCCAGCCUGACGAUGCAGAACAGAGAACACCUAAAACCGCAGAAGACGUCAGAAUUUUCUUUAGUCAAAUAGUCGUAACGACGUAACCUAGAAAAGUCGGUUAGGAUUUCAUUUAAGAAUGUGAUAAAAAGUUUCAGCAGUUUGUUUGUUUGAUCAAUGAUGAAUUUGUUCUUUAAAAUAAGUAGAAACAUGCAAAGAAUGCAGCUCUCUGUGAGUGUUUGUGAUUCUGGCUUACUUGCAACUCAGUUUACUCAUCCCCUUUGCUUCAUGUUGGUUGGGGUAAUCAAGUUGAUAUAGAUAGCUGUAACUUUAGUGAGAAUGUGGAUCAUAAUGAAUUGCUAAUCAAUUAGUGUACUUCGUGAAGACGAGAUAUACAUUUGGAGGUGAGAAUAUUAAUUUGUCGAUUUGUCGUCUCUUGCUACCUGUACCGGCGUUGAGUUUGCUGCCGUUCCAUAGACUUGAUCCAUUGGUAAAACUGAGGAGAGGUUGCUGAAAUUCAAGACUCGUCAAUAAAUUAUGUAGAUGUAGACAAAUUACAGGUGCAUAUCUGGGCUCCCUUCUUCAGUGGCCCCGUUUCCCUAAAUAACCACUAACCAACGCCCGCCGGUGGUCACUCACUCGCUGCGACAACCAGGAGGAAGGGAGAUGUUUGGUCGAACGGGGACUUGCAAGGCGCAUGAUUCGAUGAAAUCUGUUGAAGGGUCAUGAGUCUAGCCGGAAGCCUACUAUGAUGCAUUGCUCUCAUAAUAACUUCUCUUCAGCUCUCUUCGCUCUUUUUCCGGGUUCUCUAAACCACGGCCGGGUAAUCUCCCUGGUAGAGUCAGUCGGGCAGUGUCUCCCCCUGCUUGACUGACUGCAGUUUUACCGGACGGUUUGUUUAAUAAAUAAAACAAGUAUAAAAACCAUAUAAUGUUUUCAUUUUAUAAAUUAUUAUUCAUUAAUUAAAUAUAUAUAGAUAACAACUUGAUUAACAAGCAUAUUUAUACAACAUUGUUUAUUAAACAGACCGUCCGGUACAAACUCUUAGUUAGCACUAUUGCUCAAAAACUGAUUCUCUUGAAUCAGCAGACUCGGAGAGUUUAUAGCGCCGUCAAGGUAGAUAUUUCUGAAUGGUACCCGUCUUGUCAACUGCUAAUGAUUCGUUCUUGGUUUGACGGAAGCUGUGUUGUGUUUGUUGAUCGUCUCCACAUGCACGCGAUAAUCAAGACCAGCAACGUCUUGAUCAAGAAGAAGAAAAGAACGGAGAAGCAAAGAACGACGAUGUAAAUAGCGGGUUGGGUACCGCUAAAUUCAUUCUUAGUUGAAUGUCGAAUCGCUAAUACCAUUGUUGGUUAUGGUAGAACAGUUUUCCAUACUGGUACGCUGUAUGACGUCGAGCAUUGCCAAAAUGGAAGUGCUCUUUGAAGAACUGAGCGUCUAAAUCUUCUUCAGUCAGAUGAAGCUAUCGGAUUCGGAAAUCGUUGAAGAAGCAGAGGACAUCACAGCUGAAAAAAAAAACUGAAGCCCUAAUAAGAGGUAAAAAAUAACCAUGAGAAUAUGGGGUCGCAGAAAUAGAUGUCAACUGGUGGAAAAUAAGAAGAAAUUGUGCCUGUUGCACAUCGAUAUUAUUGGCCUUGAUUCUUAAAGGUGGCUUGGCUAAACUUUCGACGGUUAAACUCUAUUUAAUAAAUAGAUAACAUAACAUUUAGCUAAUUAGGAGCUAGCUUUUAAAGGAUUAAAAUUUUAAAAAAAAUUGCGUUAGAAUCUUGAAUAAAGAAAAAGUCUUAUCAGAUCCGAGAUUGACCUGACAAGUCUAUAGAAUGUCUAUGAUUUAACAAAUCACGCCACUGAAGCACACCUUCUUACCUUUAUUCAUGCUCCGGUUUCGGUAGUCACUUUUUAUGUAGCCUUUUUAUGCAGAAAGAAGAAUCACAAACCAAGAGAAACAUUCAUUUAUACAUGAACUAUAAACAGAUUCUACAAACCGGAACAUUUAGAUAGAGACCACUGCUGUUAUUUAUUAAUUUAUGUUUUAGGUUUAUGACUAUCUGAAUGGCUAAUACUGAUCGUUCUUUUGAAUUACGUUUAGCAAACUGAAAAGGAUGUAGAUGGACUUAUUCUAUGAUUUUAUCCCGUCCCGAAUGGUGUUAGCCAUUAGGUGUUACUAGUUUGAGCGGUAAGCACCUGCGCGCGCGGAAUUUUUCUUUGCACGCGAAAUCUAAAAUGCGGGUCGAAAAUUUAUGCUCGCGAACGAACAUAAAGAUAAAAUGCGCGCAAGGCAAAGGGAAAAUGCGCCCUUGGUUACCGCAUUGUAAACUAUCCUAACCUUACCUAACCAGCUAACCUAACUUAACCAAACCUAACAUUUUCACCUUCCCCGCGUUUUAGUGCGUUUACGCGAAAAAUCAAGAAAUUUUCGACAUUCAUUUUAGUUUUUCUCACACCAAAAAUAACUACGCGCAUAUUAGUGUCCGCGCGCGCGAAAACUAGUAAUACCCCUCAAGACUGGUACACAGUCCAUCUGCGUCCUUUUCAUAAUGCUAAACAUUGUUCAAAAGAAGGAUCAUCAAUGUAACACCCACUGAUUCAUUUGAUACCCCACCUUUCAUUUCCUUUCCAGUCUGUCGACGGGGUUCCGUGACCAAUGAAAUCAAACAAGUAAUCAAUUACGAAAUUAGGGAAACAUGGCGAAAGUAAUCAUGAAUUGGAGUUGUUUGACAGACGUCAAUGGGGCAUCGAGCCGAUCCUCUCUUGAACUUGGAGAACCCACCAGGAAAAGAGGUAAAAUUAAACUAAGGUUUGCGCUUCAGAUCAAGAAUUGACAACCGUGCCAACCAUCAUCAGUUCGAAUCCAUCGUUAUCUAAAAAAAAGCCUAUCUAUAAUUUACAAAAUUCAACAUCGAAAUCACUAUCCAUAGAAAAUUAAGCCACAGGGCAAAUCAAGCCAAGACGUUGCGACGUCAUCGGAGCUUCCUUUUGCCCCAUCUUCCUUGAUCAUUCUUUAGGCUUCGUUUUAACACAUUUUUUUUCAAUCGUCCUGAAUAACCGAUCAAUCUGCUAUUAAUUUUUUGUUUACGAUAAUGUUACGAUUAUUGCCUGCCUUGACCGUGUUAACUGUACAUAAUCUGGUUGUGCUUACCUCUGCUGUUUGAUUCUUUUUUAAAACUAAAUUAAUACGUGUAAUACAUUUAUAUACGCCUUUA